Molecule: small nuclear RNA, 160 nt
Organism: Echinops telfairi (small Madagascar hedgehog)
Lineage: Eukaryota; Metazoa; Chordata; Mammalia; Afrosoricida; Tenrecidae
Product: U1 spliceosomal RNA
Exons: 1
Source: RefSeq, a predicted model, not a curated record
AUACUUACGUGGCAGGGGAGAUACCAUGAUCACAAAGGUGGUUUUCCCAGGUAAAGGCUUAGCCAUUGCACUCUGGAUAUGCUGACCCCUGCAGUUCCCCAAACGCGGAAACUCGACUGCAUAAUUUGUGGUAGUGGGGGACUGCAUUCGCUGUCUCUCC